RNAcentral lists this ribosomal RNA (253 nucleotides) under uncultured bacterium. Its description in RNAcentral is "partial 16S ribosomal RNA". It matches the Rfam family "Bacterial small subunit ribosomal RNA", at positions 524 to 776 of the family's 1533-position model. The record is from RNAcentral.
UACGUAGGGUGCAAGCGUUGUCCGGAAUUAUUGGGCGUAAAGAGCGUGUAGGCGGCCAGGUAGGUCCGCUGUGAAAACUCGAGGCUCAACCUCGAGAUGUCGGCGGAAACCAUCUGGCUAGAGUCCGGAAGAGGAGAGUGGAAUUCCUGGUGUAGCGGUGAAAUGCGCAGAUAUCAGGAGGAACACCGAUGGCGAAGGCAGGUCUCUGGGCCGAUACUGACGCUGAGACGCGAAAGCGUGGGGAGCGAACAGG